Molecule: transfer RNA, 71 nt
Filed under: Planktothrix sp. FACHB-1355
Lineage: Bacteria; Bacillati; Cyanobacteriota; Cyanophyceae; Oscillatoriales; Microcoleaceae
Also listed under: 1 other name
Description: tRNA-Phe
Rfam family: tRNA
About the family: Transfer RNA (tRNA) molecules are approximately 80 nucleotides in length. Their secondary structure includes four short double-helical elements and three loops (D, anti-codon, and T loops).
Source: RNAcentral
UACAUACUAGCCGAAUUGGUACAGGCGCUUGACUGAAAAUCAGGUUAUUGCAGGUUCAAAUCCUGUGUAUG